GAAAUGCGAUACGUAACGUGAAUUGCAGGGUCUAGCGAAUCGUCGAAUCUUUGAACGCACAUUGCGCCCGCCGGACCCCCGGCGGGCAUGCCUGUCCGAGCGUCGUUUGGAAACCCUCAGGCCCGCGGCCUGGUGCUGGGCGUCCGUCCCCCGCGACGCGCCCCGAACCCCUCGGCGGCACGGUUCCGGUGCCGGGGCGUUAUCGUACAUCCGCGCCCCCGGAUCGACCGGACCCGCCGGCCACGAGCGGCCCCCGUGGCGGGGCCGACGCGACGAACGUCCGACCUCGGAUCAGGCAGGGACACCCGCUGAACUUAA
This 318-nucleotide unclassified non-coding RNA is filed under the name uncultured fungus. RNAcentral describes it as "sequence contains ITS1". The stretch from base 1 to 105 matches the Rfam family "5.8S ribosomal RNA", at positions 50 to 154 of the family's 154-position model. Lineage: Eukaryota; Fungi. The record is from RNAcentral.